This is a long non-coding RNA of Spinacia oleracea (spinach), 2205 nucleotides long. RefSeq lists it as uncharacterized. NCBI's taxonomy places the organism in Eukaryota, Viridiplantae, Streptophyta, Magnoliopsida, Caryophyllales, Amaranthaceae. The record is from RefSeq and is a predicted model, not a curated record. The transcript has 5 exons.
CACAUGGGUCUUAAGCUGUUGAUUGCUGCCUUCUAGUGACAAACCAAACCAUUGUGCACACCAUUGUUUAUCCUGCACCACUCAUACACCCUAACCUACACCACUCAUACUUUCACCAAUUCUCCCAUACCAACACUUCCCUUUCUUCAUCAACGCUAAACCAGCCCAACAACCUCACUCCAACUCCUUACACCAACGCAGCCACCUUCCUACCACCACCAACACUACCAACACCACACCACCACAGACAACAGAGCGCAGCCAUCAAUUCACACCAUCAGCAAUCAAACGCAACAACCAGGGCCAAAAUAGCCCAAAAUAGCAGUCACAAAACAAAGUAAAAACAGAGUACUGAAGUUUGGUCGAACCGUAUUCAAGUUCGACCGAACCCGAAUUUUUAAGUUCCUGACAAGGCCGGGUCCGGCCGAACCCACUGUGUGUUCGCCCAAACUAGAAACGGGUUCGUCCGAACCUCCAUUAAAGUUCGACCGAACAUUUCACCGCUCAAAUUGGGUGUACGGAUCGAAUUAAUGAAGUCACGUGGCUCGUGGUUGUUGGCCGCUCGAUUUUCCACCGUACAAUCUCGAUUAACGGUUGUGGUAGAGGGUGAUUGAUGAACGACGAUGAUUGUGGGUGAUGAUUGAUGGUCGUUGUUGAAUUGGACGAGGAUGAUGCGUCGUUGAUGGCUGAUGAUGAUGGAAAAUUGACGGUCUGAUCGAUGGGGAUUGACCAAGAUCGAUGCCGAAGAUGGUUGAUGAUGAUGGUCGUUGAUGAUGGCCGUUGUUGUGUGAAGCGGAGGGGAUUAACCCAUUUUUGAGAGCAGCGAAAUGCGGAGCAGGGGAGCAUCAUUGGAGACGAAGAAAUAAGGCUUUGGGCCUUUGAGCGUUUGCCGUUUUUUGUUCCUCGGUCCGGCAGAAUGGACGGGGGUUACCCCGUGGCUAACUAUUGGGGUGGUGCCUGGAACUUGAAGAAAUGGCCCACGAUGACGAGAUUCAGGGAUAUGAUCAUGACUGCGCACCCUAACGUGGUGGGUUGGUCUUGUUGGGAACGGCUGGGCGAGACGGAGGAGUUGGCGGAGGUUCGACGACAGACCCAAUGGGUCGGAUUCUGUACCAGGGCCUUAGAGGUCCAUCCUAGUUUUUAGGAGAGCUGGUCCUUUGGCAGACGACGGGUCUUGUGCGGGUGCCUCGCCCGCCGCCUACUAGCAUGUUGCGCCACACGAGCAUUCUUCCCAGUCGUCGGGCGGUGCUGCGAGAGGUGUGCCUGGAGGACAGCUGGCGAUGGUUGAUGCCAACUAUUCAGAUUUUGUUCGUGACCGGAUCUUGAUUCCCCCGGUGAUUGAGGUGCGUGUAUUCUUAGAUUGUGUUGAUAUGCACUUGUUUUCUUUUUCUUACUGUGUUUGACUAAUAGUUUAUCUGUGUUGCAUCCUGAGCCUACUGUUCAUGACGGUUCGGUGCCACCUGACUGUGUGACGGGAGGAUGGUUCUAGGAUGACGGAGGAGGUGCCUGCCGUCCCUGAUGAGGAGGGGAUUCACCCACUAGUUCAUGCGAAUGUUCGUGUGGCACCUGUUAGCAUAGUUAACUAGGUAGUCAGGGUGGUUAUCCGGCUGUAGGCCACGUUGUCCACGACUCGUGCAACUCUUUCUUGCCGCAAUCAAGGUUCGAUUCAGACUAGAGCGCCACAGGCUCGUGCACAGGAGACGGUACGGACUGCUCGGAGAGACCGACACUCUUUUGAGGGUGACCGUACCUCUGGGUCGCAUGCGAGGCCCCGUGUUUCAGAUGUCGGGUUAGGACAGAGGCCUAUGCGGUCGAAGACUGAGGCCAGGAGGAGCUAUACUGGUCUGUUCGGAGAGCCGACGUCGCAGAUGGGUUGACAGGCUCCCGCAUUUCAGCCAUUCCAGGCCGGUUGGCAGCCUCAACCAUUUUAGCAACCUUUUAGCACCGGGUGGGUGCCUGCGCCGCAGACGCAGAGUUGGGGAUCUUCUUAGCUCGAUGCCUUGAUUGGUGAACUACAUGACUCGUAGGGUGCGGGUACAAGUCGAGAUGCUCUAGAUGAGGAGGCGAUCCCAUCCCUCCGGGGUUUAGUAGGCCCCCUUAGUAGGCCAUGUAAAUGUAUUUGCUUAAACAUGUAGUAUUUUCCGUGUUGGUAUUUGUGCUUUAAGAAUUUGUACAUAAUUUUGAUUAUUUUACGUACUUAGCUUC